RNAcentral lists this long non-coding RNA (8739 nucleotides) under Coffea arabica (coffee). RNAcentral describes it as "long non-coding RNA (CARA_LNC006055)". Lineage: Eukaryota; Viridiplantae; Streptophyta; Magnoliopsida; Gentianales; Rubiaceae. The record is from RNAcentral.
UACUUAGAUUUUAAGACAAUUAUGUUGUGCAUGCAGUUUUUGUAAAUAGGUUUGAUCUUAAGAAUUGUAUGGAUGGAGCGUUACUUGGCUAAGGUUGUAAUUACCGUAAAUGGCUAAAGUGUAAGUUAAUAUGAGGUUUCAGUGGCUAAUUCCACUCAGGGUGUGGCAUAAUUAAUUAUGCACAGUAAUCUGGUAUAGAAUUUCCCCCAAAUAUAGUAAUAUGUUACAGAAACUCCUCAAGGCUUUCAAAGCAACUAACAUACGGACAUAUAGCUGUUGUGGACAUAUAUAUAACAGAGAUUUUCCAAACAGUUUCAAAACCAUUAUUUGAAACCAUAUUACAAGGAUACAUGGCAAGAAUAAUGUUCACACGCCUCAAAUGUUUGCCAUGACGAACAAAAAACCUUAAAACCAGUUGGAAAAGCUUGACAAUAGUAGUACCUAUUACCCAAUCACCAAACACAUCAAAAAAGGACAAAUGCUUUGUUAGACGUGCAUAAUUGGUAUUUCAGCUUCACUUGGCAGCUGACGCAGCCAAAAUAGAAAAGAUCAGCUCCAAACAGACAUGUCAGGAGUUUCCACAGGCCUUCAACGAACGAACAUAGAGUAAACGUUUAUGGAUCAGUCGUUCUAUAAUGAGUUCUUUGGUACGUCAUGAUGGUGUUGCUGCACUAAUCUUUGGUGACUAAUAAGAAGAGUGAUAUUAGAGUGACUAACCAAACUUGCUGGGCCAUGCUUAUAUCUCCUCUUCGAUCAUUCCCAGUCCCACUUUCACAAGUAUUUGAAUGAAAGAUUAAGAGGGACUAAGAGAAGAACUUGAGUCUGCAAAAGUUGAAUGCUCUUUUGCGUCGAAUAAUGACACGACCGUGCUGGUUUCUGUCGCAGAUGACUUUUCGCGGAGGUCAUCAAGUGGACUGGUGAUGUAGUUACCUGUCCAAACUCCAUUUGCAUACACCAUAACUAAUACUUUGUCAAAAUCAAGAAGAUCCUGUUUGGCCUUUACUCUUAUGGAUCCACCUGGCUUUAUCCUGAUAAUUUUCUCAAAUUUGUCAGGUCUAGCAGGCUGAACCCAUAUCCUCAGCUCUAUGCUGUAGUAAGUCCUGUUUUCUAGUAUACUAAGCUUACCGCCCAUUUUCUAUGCAACCCACAACUUGAAACUAACUAGAAUUUGAAAAGAUUAAAGACUAGCAGUGCUCGUGUGCUGGUGUAUGAACUGAACUCUAAGAGGUAGAAAGACUGGAAUAGUGCUCGUGUGAUGGUGUUAGCAAAAACUAUUUGCUCGUAAUAUCCUUAGGUCUAAAAUGUGAGGAAAGUGGACGCCUUCGAUGCCUAUUGUACUACUAAUUUAUAGAGGAAAUUUGUCCACUGCUUCUCAACUCAAUAAGUGAGAAAUUGAACCAAAUAAAUUAAGGGCCUUUCUUUGGGUUUGCAUUAACUGAUUGUGGUGGAAUGUGACUAUAAAGAAGAAUCAGAAUAUGAUAAAAUUAUACUUGGUUAGAUUCUAGAUAUUAACGUUUUUGUCUACUAAAAUCUAAAAUUUAGGUGCUAAAGCAAGCUAGACUCUAUUAUACUUGGUUAGACUCUAAAAUUUCUGUCGCAGAUGACUUUUCGCAGAGGCCAUCAAGUGGAGUGGAAAGAUGCAGUUACCUGUCCCAACUCCAUUUGCAUGCACCAUUACUAAUACUUUGUCAAAAUAAAGAAGACCCUCCUGUUUGGCCUUUGCUCUUAUGGUUCCACCUGGCUUUACCCUGAUAAUCUUCUCAAAUUUGUCAGGUCUAGCAGGCUGAACCCACAUCCUGAGUUCUAUGCUGUAGUAAGUCCUGUUUUCUAGUAUACUAAGCUUACCGCCCAUUUUUUAUGCAACCCACAACCUGAAACUAGCUAGAAUUUGCAAAGACAAAGGCACAUAAAGAACAAACAAUCAGAUUAAAGACUAGCAGUGCUCGUGUGCUGGUGUAUGCGCUGAACUCUGAGAGGGAGAAAGAUCAGAAUAGUGCUCGUGUGAUGGUGUUAGCAAAAUCCAUAUAUGCUUGUAAUACCUCUUUGUCUAAAAUGUGAGGAAAGUGGAUGCCUUAGAUGCCCAUGGCACUACUAAUUUAUAGAGGAAAUUUGUCCACUGUUUCUCAACUCAAUUAAGUGAGAAAUUGAACCAAAUAAAUUAAGGGCCUUUCAAAAGGGUUUGCAUUAACUGAUUGUGGUGGAAUGUGCCUAUAAAGAAGAAUCAGAAUAUGAUAAAAUUAUACUUGGUUAGACUCUAGAUAUUAACUUUUUUGUCCAUUAAAAUCUAAAAUUUAGGUGCUAAAGCAAGCUAGAGUAUCAAAAAAAAAAAAAAAAACUUGUAUCCGUAAACACAGGUGAAAUAAUCAAACGAGAAUAGGCCCAUAAUCCACCUGAUUAGUAAAUGGUAAUUUGGUGUAACUUCCUAGCUUUUACCGCAACAGACUUCAAAGAUCAGGUCAAUGGGACUAUGUGGUCAACUCAUAGGUCAAACUGGGGACUUCAAAGAAGCUCUAUGUGUUACUGUGCUAAAAGUUAAAACGCGUGUAAACAGUAAACACUAUUGUAACUGCAUAUGGGAUAGGAUAGGCAUCUCAUGAUUUGAUCGAAAAGAGAAUAGCAUGAAAUGCAAAGGAAAGUGUGCACAGAUUGAGAUUGAAAGUUAACCAAGAAACUGCUACACAAUUGGUCGUCCGGGAUCACAUGGAAUCAUUCUUGGUCCACAAGAAAUCAAUUCAGGCCCCAAGCCAAAUCCGGUCACCACCAUCCUUUAGAUCUUGCUUGAAAUCCAAGUCAAAAGCCAAAAAGCAAAGCCGGAAAACUAAUGGUAUAACUUUAAUAAAAGUAACUAUCCGUGUGAAGAAGAUGUCAGGUCAUGCGGAGCUGUUAAACGAACCGAGCUGUUCGAUAGCUCGAUUCAUUUCGACUCGUUCGUGUUCGUGAAAGGCUCGUUCGAAAUUUUAAACGAACCGAAUUCGAACGAAUUUUUUUGUUCGAUUAAUAAUCGAGCGAACAUGAGCAUGUUCGCGAAUUUUAACGAACGUUCACGAACAUGCUAAACGAACGUUCGCGAACACGAGUUUUAACGAACGUUCACGAACAUGAACAUAAUUAUCAUUUGACAAAUUUUAGAGUUAAUUUUAUCGCUGGACUUUUAUAUUUGGAGGGCAAAUUGCUUUGUUUUAUUUGUUAUUUUUAUGUUAAUGUUGUUAUAUAGUUAAUGAAUAAUAGAAUUUAGUCACUUAGUUGCUUUAAUUAUUUUUGAGAAUGAUUAAUGAUUUGCAUGGCAUAUUUAAGAUUUAAAAUAAUUUGGAUUCGAACAUUUCGAACAUGUUCGCGAACGGCUCGUUUAUGUUAAACGAGCCGAACACAAACUCGAAUUCGAAUACGAAUUUUGUUUAACGAGCCGAACACGAACACAGAUUUAGAAUUCGAAAAUAAACGAACGAACACGAACGUUGUUCGAAUCGCUUAACGAAUAGAGCUCGAACAUGAGAUACUCGGUUCGAAUUAUUUAGGUUGUUAAUUCAUGCCCUCCUCUUUUCUUUCCCUGGAGUGCGGUGGAGGAAUUUGGUAACUUCGGGCAACUUCUUAGAGAGAAUACUUGAAUUCUGUUUGGCAAAUAAGUUUUUUUUAUCGAGUUUUUCGGCUAUAAGUGUUUUAAUCAUUUUAGUUUAAUAAUUUCUUAAAAUUUCUUAAAAUUUUUAGACUAUAUAUUUCAAAAUAUUAAAAAAUUUACAUAUUUCAAAAAUUUUUCUAUAACGUUUAUAAUAAGUUACAGUAAGAUUUUAUAUGAAUAUUCAAAAAACUCAUUUGCCAAAUGGGCUAUGGUUUCAAACAAGUCGAAUAAAUACUUCAUUACCAUUAUAUGAUAUAGACGCAUGCUGCAUGUGUAGAAGAGAAUUUUAGGAUAAUAAAUAUGUAUUUAGUCUUGCUAGUGUGCAUCCAAAAGCCUAACUUAACUCCUUGGAACAUAGUUAUUAAACCCGUCCCGAGGAGGAAUCAGGUGAAAGAGGUGGGUGAACGGGUUACUGGUUCAACCAGUGGGUGAGUGGUCCAAUCGGUGGAUCACUAAAUAUAUUUAAAUAUUAUAUCUCAUAAUUUUUAUGCCAUAAUAAAUAUUCAAUUAGUCUAAUUUAUUAUUAAAUCAUUAAUUCUUAAAAGAAUUAACAACCUAAAUUUAAUUAGUAAUCUGCCAAAUUUCAAAUAUAAAAUUUUAUCUAAGUGUAAUUAUCUAGUUUAUUUAUGAAUUUUAAGUGCAAAAGUUUAUUAAGAAUAAUAUUUGCCUUUAAAGGAAUUAUGUUAUAUGUUAUUUUUUAAGUCAAUUUCAUAAUUUAUAGAGUUUGGGGAAAAAUAAAAUGUUAUUAAAAGAUUUCAAAUAAAUUUUGUUUUGGAGAAAUAAAAUAAAAAUAAAAGUCUAAUAUAUAGCAUAAGAAGGACAAGAUAACAACAAAUAGGUAGUUGGUCCAGUAGUGAUUGUAUUCUAUCAGCAUGCAUGUCAUUUGUGUUCGAAUCUCCAUUCUAGCAUCUUCAUAAAAUUUUUCCAUGUAAACCGGGUUCCUCAUAAAACCGACCAGUUCAUCGGGUUCAUGGUUGAACCGCUGAUCCGUUGAAAAGUCAACGAAUUCAAUGCAAAAACGAUCUAAUUGAUAACUCGGCCUGGUUCAUUGAGUUGACCUAUUGAACCGCCGGACUGGGCCAGAUUUAAUAACUAUGUCUUGGAAUAUCAGCUAGUUUGGAGACCGUAAGGUCCCUAAAUCAACUCUCAAUCUCUCUUUUUUUUCUUUUCUCCUCUAUUUUGGAAUUUGGUGUCUCCUUUAAAUGAUAAAAAAAAUCCACUAAUGUAAUAAAGUUAUUACACUAGAAAGAUUAAUCCCUAAAUAUUUAUUUGUAAUUAAUACACGAGGAAACAACCCGUUUGCCCCUUAAACUAUCCGCUUUGCUCGGUUUUGACCCCUCAACUAUAAAUUAUUUGAAAUAAGCCCCUCAGUGAAAAAAAAGAAGUCAAGUUCAAGGAUUUCUAUUAAUUUUGAGCGUUAAUAUAGACGCAAUGAGGGCAAAAUUGAUCAAUUAGAAAUCAGUCUAACUUUUGGCCCCUAAACUAAUGCUAUAGGACUGUUGUGCUAUACUAUUGUUUUAACCCCUAAACUAAUCCCACAGCAUUGUUUUAUCCCCUAAAGUAUUUCCACGGCUCUGUUGUGGCCCCUCAAAAAAGUUGACUUCUUCCAUUGGAUCGGUAUUGCCCUUCAUUCCAUCACCACUAAUACCUAAAAUUAACAAACAGUCCUUAAAAAUGAUAUAUAUAUAUAUAUAUAUAUAUAUAUAUAUAUAUAUAUUUUAUUCAGGGACUUAUUUCAGACAAUUUAUAGUUGAGGGAUCGGAACAAAGUGAAUAGUUUAGAAGUCGUGCGGAUUGUUUCCACUUAAUACAUUCAUGAUUAUAUUGAGGCAGAUUAAUUUGCACUUCAAUUUUAUCCUCUCUCCCAGAUAACUUUUUUUUAUUUUUUUUAUUUUGUCACAAAGUUGGCCCUCAAGCCCAACUGGUCACAUUCUCACCAUGAUUAAACCCCUUCCCUUGUCGAUGAUGCCACUGCUCUUUGUAGCUCCGAAGGGUUCUUCCCACCAUGAUUUCUCAAGUUGAAUCCAAUUCUAACCCGCCCCGCAUGAGCAGCGCAAACACCUACCAAGAUGUAUCAUGGCCGCACCCAAAGAUUGAUUGAACGUUUAACAUGAUUUUAAAGGACAAAAUAACUUAAAAAAAAAACAUGUUUAGUUGUUUAAAAUGGGUUAAGUUUUUUUUUUUCUUUCUCAAUGGUAAAGUUGGUUUUCGUGAUGUCCAGUUACAACGUCUGCCCAAAAAAAAAAACUUUCACAUCCAUAUAAAAAUCUAACAAUUUUUUUUUAGUAUAAUUGUUUUUUCGCUUUUACUUCCUCCUCUAAACUAUUCAACCCAUCUUCCCUCCCCCAGUAUCAGUAUCUAACGUAUUUAACCAUUGUACUGUGCCCAAAAGUAAUUUAAGUGCGUAAAAACUGCAGAUGCAUAUCAAAAUGGGCUUUUCAGGAUUUAACCCAAAAAAAGUAAAAUGAACAGAAAAUGUGUGCAAGUAUUGAGGUUGAACCGACAAAUGGUGAAAAGUUUGAGGUUGAACCGAGAAAUUAUUAGAUAACUUGUGGAGCCCAAAAUGAUUCCCAGGGUCAUCGAUGCCCCAAGCCAAAGCCUGUCAUCGCGGCAGAGUUAUCUUUUAUCGUCCUUUGGAUCUUAGUACAAGUAGAAAUUUAAUAAAACCAACCGCCACUGUGCAAAAAAAUGGUAGGUCAUGCCCUCCUCUUUUUCUAUCUCUCGAGUGCGUGGAGGAAUCUGGCAACUUCCAGCGACUUCUUAGAGAUAAUACUUAAGCGUGAAGUAGUUUGAACAAGUUCUUCCUCACCUUUUGAGGAUUCCACCAAUGAUUGUACUUUUUUUUUUUUUGGUCAAUCAGGAGUAUCCAUGUUUGAUCAGACAAAUCUCUUUGGACCUAAAGUACCCCGCCCUCAAAAGCCUAAAAUACCCCGCCCCCAAAAGCAACUUAGACGAUAGGAGAAGCCAGACUCGAACCUGCGUCGCAUGACCCAGAGGGCCAUCCGACAACCGGCUGAGCUGACCUUGAGGGGCACCAAUGAUUGUACUUAAGUGAUGGUUUUUAUAGUAAAGUGUUCCAAUUCAUAACGUAGAGACUAAAGCAAGAUUAAGGUAUCAAUCAUUUUUAGUUAGUUCAUUGAGUCUUAUUAAGUAGUACAUAAAUUACAUAUAUAGGUUUAGAGUUCAUGUAAAUUUUCAAAAUGCUUCAUUGUCUAAUCAAACUCAAUACAUCAAACCCGAAUUCAACUCGAUUGGGCUCGAGCUUGAGUCUGCUCGAAUCCAAACAAGUCGAAUUUGAGCAUUUUAGAAAUUUUAAUGAAUUGAGUUUGAUUUGUAAAAUUUCAAACUCAGAUCGAAUCAAGCUCGAUCUCGAUCAAUGCUACAUCAAAUCGAACUCGACUAUAACACUGCUCAAGAUCGACUCGACUUGUUUGUACCCCUGUAUUAGUGACUCAAACAGUUAUAACCUUCUUUGUUUCCAAACCGAUUGACGUAAUCAAUAGCUCAAUAUCCAAGUUGCUGAUGGGAACUGAUUUGUAACGAACACAUGUCCAAUGGUUAUUGAACUGUUACUAAUUUGUUAUGUCUAUAUUAUUGUUACAUAAUUUUUUCUAUCAAACGCAUUAUUGUACUAACGUAUUUAGACAGGUAGACGGGAUCUUGGACUAUUUUUUGGUCAUGUAAUCGCCUAUACUUCUUUGUUGAACCUUUCAAAGAAUGGAACCUUUUACGAGGAGGACUUCGAUCAUAGCAAGGGUUUACAGGAGGGUGGCGGAAGGCUUAACACAUGCUUAUGUUACUCUGGACUAUGUUUAGAUGCAGAUAAUGUUGGGACUACACUUUUGAUCUCUAACAUUGUACUUAGAUUUUAAAACAAUUAUGUUGUGCAUGCAGUUUUUGUAAAUAGGUUUGAUCUUAAGAAUUGUAUGGAUGGAGCGUUACUUGGCUAAGGUUGUAAUUACCGUAAAUGGCUAAAGUGUAAGUUAAUAUGAGGUUUCAGUGGCUAAUUCCACUCAGGGUGUGGCAUAAUUAAUUAUGCACAGUAAUCUGGUAUAGAAUUUCCCCCAAAUAUAGUAAUAUGUUACAGAAACUCCUCAAGGCUUUCAAAGCAACUAACAUACGGACAUAUAGCUGUUGUGGACAUAUAUAUAACAGAGAUUUUCCAAACAGUUUCAAAACCAUUAUUUGAAACCAUAUUACAAGGAUACAUGGCAAGAAUAAUGUUCACACGCCUCAAAUGUUUGCCAUGACGAACAAAAAACCUUAAAACCAGUUGGAAAAGCUUGACAAUAGUAGUACCUAUUACCCAAUCACCAAACACAUCAAAAAAGGACAAAUGCUUUGUUAGACGUGCAUAAUUGGUAUUUCAGCUUCACUUGGCAGCUGACGCAGCCAAAAUAGAAAAGAUCAGCUCCAAACAGACAUGUCAGGAGUUUCCACAGGCCUUCAACGAACGAACAUAGAGUAAACGUUUAUGGAUCAGUCGUUCUAUAAUGAGUUCUUUGGUACGUCAUGAUGGUGUUGCUGCACUAAUCUUUGGUGACUAAUAAGAAGAGUGAUAUUAGAGUGACUAACCAAACUUGCUGGCCCUGGCUUAUAUCUCCUCUUCGAUCAUUCCCAGUCCCACAUAUUUUGCAGGAAUGAAGGCAAAACAUCUGCAAGAUUCAGAAACAAAAAUGAGAAAUGUCGAAGCGUUUCUACCUUACAAAAUAAAAACUUUCACAAGUAUUUGGAUGAAAGAUUAAGAGGGAGUUAGAGAAGAACUUGAGUCUGCAAAAGUUGAAUGCUCUUUUGCCUCGAAUAAUGACACCGCCGUGCUGGUUUCUGUCGCAGAUGACUUUCGCAUAGGUCAUCAGGUGGAGUGGAAAGAUGUAGUUACCUGUCCAAACUCCAUUUGCAUACACCAUUACUAAUACUUUGUCAAAAUCAAGAAGACCCUGUUUGGCCGUUACUCUUGUGGUUCCACCUGGCUUUAUCCUGAUAAUUUUCUCAAAUUUGUCAGGUCUAGCAGGGUGAACCCACAUCCUGAGUUCUAUGCUGUAGUAAGUCCUGUUUUCUAGUAUACUAAGCUUACCGCCCAUUUUUCUAUGCAACCCACAACCUGAAACUAGCUAGAAUUUGCAA